Molecule: small RNA, 967 nt
Filed under: Rattus norvegicus (Norway rat)
Lineage: Eukaryota; Metazoa; Chordata; Mammalia; Rodentia; Muridae
Description: uncharacterized LOC108351706
Source: RNAcentral
UGAGCUCUUAGGAUAGUGAAUUAAAAUCAUUGGUUAGCUCCUGCAAGAGUAUAACAUUUUCUACUCUCAGACUGAAAUGUCAUGGAAAUCUGAGAUGACUUUUCUCUCUUUUUCCUAGUAUCUACCAUGGUGCCUGGUAGAUUAUGUGUGAGCAAAGAUUAGUGAAUUUCUGAAUUCCAAAAUCUUGUAGCUGAGUCUCCAGGAGGUUAUGAAGGCUGACAUUUCAGUAUUAUACUUAUGUGACUUUAAAGUCACAUCAUAGUGUAUCCUCCAGAGUGUUCUUCCGGUGUGGAAUGUUAUUGUUUGUGGCCAGAGGAGUUCUGAGUAUCAAUGAUGAAGGUAUGUACAUGAGUAUCUAUCUGGAAUAUGUGAGUGUGUUAAAGACAGAAAGGGAAACAGAAUAUAAACUCCCUGUGGGAGCCAAAGCUGUCUGAGGCAAUUAUCUAAAACUUAGUGGUUGCUAAAGAUGGCUAAGGGUUUUAGAGAAAUGUUCACCAACACUUUACCAGUUCAGACAGAUCUCACAGAGUGUUGGAAAAAGUCAAAAGCUGGUGUCUUAACCAACUUUCUUGUUCCCCUUUCCACAUCUCCAGUGCAUGGGAUCAUGAGGACUUUCUAAGAAGAUCUACACACUGAACUAGGAGUGUAUCUCAGGUGGUGUAGUCCUCACUCAGCGUGCAUUGAAGUGUUCGAUCUCCUCUGGAACCAUAUACACCAAGUGUGGUGUCAGAAGCCUGUAAGCCCAGCAUCCUGAGGAGGAAUAUGAAACAGCAAUUAACAUUUUCUUACCAAAUUAUUUGGCUUCCAGGAACCAUCUGAUGUCUAUGAUCUGAGCUGCCACAUGAAACCAUGAAAUCCACAAUCCACGCAACUUCCGGAAACCACGUGGAAGUGCGUGAUCUGUGCUGCCGCUGGCAGCUAUGGGCGAGGAAGCUUUGUUUGUAGUGGUAUAGAUGACCUCCGACUC